Molecule: small RNA, 22 nt
Filed under: Arabidopsis thaliana (thale cress)
Lineage: Eukaryota; Viridiplantae; Streptophyta; Magnoliopsida; Brassicales; Brassicaceae
Description: ATSL240880
Source: RNAcentral
AUAGCAUAACCGAAGUGUGCCU